This 255-nucleotide ribosomal RNA is filed under the name uncultured bacterium. Its description in RNAcentral is "partial 16S ribosomal RNA". It matches the Rfam family "Bacterial small subunit ribosomal RNA", at positions 524 to 776 of the family's 1533-position model. The record is from RNAcentral.
UACGGAGGGUGCAAGCGUUGUCCGGAUUUAUUGGGUUUAAAGGGUGCGUAGGCGGCCCUGUAAGUCAGUGGUGAAAUACUGCAGCUUAACUGUAGCAUUGCCAUUGAUACUGUAGGGCUUGAGUACAGAUGAGGUAGGCGGAAUUGAUGGUGUAGCGGUGAAAUGCAUAGAUACCAUCAAGAACACCGAUUGCGAAGGCAGCUUACUAAGCUGUAACUGACGCUGAGGCACGAAAAGCGUGGGGGAUCGAACAGG